This is an RNA transcript of Capra hircus (goat), 6703 nucleotides long. It is a transcript of the gene named immunity related GTPase Q, with no coding region annotated. NCBI's taxonomy places the organism in Eukaryota, Metazoa, Chordata, Mammalia, Artiodactyla, Bovidae. The record is from RefSeq and is a predicted model, not a curated record. The transcript has 5 exons.
UUGUUCUAGGACCUGCGACCGCUGAGAGCCGGCGAGCGCCCAUCCGUCGUUCUGCGCAAGCGCCGCACAGGGUUGUCUUCACCAGGUUACGCUUUCAAGACACACCUCCUCCUAAAGGGAAUGACGUCAGCUAUGCCUCCGCCGCGAGGUGACGUGACCGUCUUAUUCCUGGGGCCUCCGGGCUCCGGAAAAUCUGCGCUGAUUGCAGCGCUGUGCGACAGAGAUGUGGAGACGGUCGAGAUCCCCGACGGACGGCCGGAUUCCGGGCUCCCCAGCCUGCGAGCUGCAGGCCCAGGCCUUUUCCUGGGCGAGCUGAGCUGCCCACCCGCAGAGCCGGGACCCUGGGCGGCGGAGGCCAACGUGCUGGUACUGGUGCUGCCAGGCCCCGAGAGCAAUGAGGAGCCCUUGGCCCCGGCCCUGGGGGAGGCAGCACGGGCCGCCCUGGCCCGAGGGACCCCGCUGCUGGCUGUGCGGAAUCUCCGACCCGAGGAGUCACAGAAUGAAGCCCAGGCCCGGGAUCAGACCGCGGCCCUGCUGGACAGCGCCGGGUUGGGCGCCGCGGCUCUCUUCGUGCCACGGACCGACUGCCUCAGCACCGACGGCUGCGAGGAGCUGGAGCGCCUGCGAGCGGCGCUGCGGAGCCAGGCCGAGGCACUGCAGAGGCUCCUUCCACCAGCUCAGGAUGGCUUCGAGGUGUUGGGCGCUGCGGAGUUGGAGGCUGUGCGGGAGGCCUUUGAGACUGGGGGCCUGGAGGCGGCCCUGUCGUGGGUUCGGGCUGGCCUGGAGCGACUGGGCAGCGCACGCCUGGACCUGGCCGUGGCCGGUAGGGCUGACGUGGGCCUUGUGUUGGACGUGCUCCUCGGGUUAGAUCCUGAAGAUCCGGGUGCAGUGCCUGCUGCAGCGCCUGCAGGGCCCACGCCCUACCCGGCCCCAGAGCGCCCCAACGUGGUGCUCUGGAGCGUGCCUCUGGGCUCCGCGGACACCACCGUCGCCCCAUACCCGACAACCCACUACGACGCUCUCAUCCUCGUCACCCCUGGGGCCCCCACUGAGAAGGACUGGGCCCAGGUCCGGCCCUUGGUGCUCCCGGAUACACCACUGGUCUGCGUGCGAACAGACGGCGAGGGCGAGGACCCAGAGUCUCUGGAAGAAGAGGAAAAGGCAGAGAAGUCUGGCAGCGAGAGCUUAGAGAACCCAGACGGAGAGGGGUUUGAGACUGCCCACAGUGAUGGAAAGGAGAACCGCGGCCCCAGAUUGCAAAAGGGAGGCAGUGGGGAAGGUUCAGAGGAAGCAGGCACGGAGAGUUUGCAGCCAGUGGGCGUCAGCGCGAAGAAAUCCGGCAGCGGGGACUCAGAGCGCGCGGCUGCCCUGAGCCCCGAGGACGAAACGUGGGAGGUGCUAGAGGAGGCGCCGCCGCCCGUGUUCCCGCUGCGGCCGGGCGGGCUCCCGGGGCUAUGCGAGUGGCUGCGGCGCGCGCUCCCCGCGGCCCAGGCGGGGGCGCUGCUGCUCGCGCUGCCGCCCGCGUCUCCCCGCGCGGCCCGGACCAAGGCUGCUGCGCUGCGGGCCGGGGCGUGGCGGCCGGCCCUGCUGGCUAGCCUGGCGGCAGCGGCGGCCCCAGUCCCAGGCCUGGGCUGGGCGUGCGACGUGGCGCUCCUGCGGGGUCAGCUAGCGGAGUGGCGACGGGCGCUGGGGCUCGAACCCGCGGCACUGGCCCGACGCGAGCGCGCGCUGGGCCUGGCGCCCGGGGAGCUGGCCAAGCGGACGCGCUUCCCAGGCCCGGUGACGCGAGCCGAAGUGGAAGCGAGGCUGGGCUCGUGGGCGGGCGAGGGCACCGCCGGGGGCGCGGCGCUGGGCGCGCUCUCCUUCCUGUGGCCGGCGGGCGGCGCUGCGGCCACUGGGGGCCUGGGCUACCGAGCGGCGCACGGCGUCCUGCUGCAGGCGCUGGACGAGAUGCGCGCGGACGCCGAGGCAGUGCUGGCGCCGCAGGUGCCCGCGCAGUGAGAGCGGGCUGAGGGCCGGGGCUUCCGGGUGUGCCCAGGGUCCCAGCUGCCUGGCUCUGCCAGGGCCGGAGGACUCAAGACCCGGUGAGAGGGAGAGGCCAAGGGAUCCAGACUCUAGCAUGGGAUGUCUGGGCCUGAAAGAUCACAGAGCAAGGGGUCUGCCAGUCAGAAUCCUGGGUGCUUGAAGGGAGUGAGGGCUCUGACUAGGGCCUGGAGUGGGUGACGUCUGGUCACUAGGAUUCCUGGGUCCUGAAGGGAAAUAGAGUUCUGGGGACGGGACUCCUGAUUUUUCUGGGUACCAUCAGACUAUGGAACUCCUCAAGGGAGUUGAGGGUUUGGACUCCUCGAAGGCGGCUAUCUUGGUCUCUCAAGAGUAGAAACUAGAUCCAAUAGGUGACUAGUCCCCCUGCGGAGGAGGAGUUGGAGGCCCUGAUUGCUGAUGAAGGCGGUCUCCUUCACACUGGGGAUUCUGACAUGGAGGAGGGGUGGUCUGGGUUCCCCAGGGAGCUGAACUCCUUGGGCUUCUGAGCCACAAAGGGAUAUAAGAUCUAGGUUUCCGGGGGUGAGGGAAGGACGGUUCUCUGGACUCUCAGAACGCCUGACUCCCCAGAGGGCUGAGGUCUUUGCUUUCUAAUUCAUGGGUGGUGGAAGGUAUCCAUGUAGAGGAGGGAACCGGGUGCUGUGUGAGAGAGCUGGAGACCCUGUUGUCCCUCUUCGGAAACGGAGGGGUGUGAUAUUUGCCCCUCCAGAAGCCUGGGGGCACAGAUUUCUUUCCCCGCUGUUGUGGGGAGGAUGGUACCACAAAACACAAGAGGAAGCAAGAGUGUUCUGGGCAUGGUUGGGCUGGGGAGUAGCCAGAGACCAGGAAUGAGGCUUUCUGACUGUGGAAGGGCAGGAACCCAUCCCUCAGAGGAAACUCCCCAGAAUCCCUAAUAGAUUUGGAUCCUGGUGGCUGCCCUCCUCUGAGUUUGACUGGAAGGGGAUGUGACUGACCCCAUUUUCUAGGUGCUGGGCAGUUACGGGGCUCUCUGGGUACUCUGUCCCUCUCUCCCUUAGGGAUUUCUGUCGUUCUUGGGUCUUGGUGUCUUCUGUCAUGAAACCUGAACCGUUUCUGGCCUUCCUAUUUUGUAUACCCGCCUUUUGGGAAAUGCAGCUGUACUGCUGGACUAAUCCAAACACUUCGUGUGGCUACCUCAGGUGUCCCCAAGAGAGACACAGAGAAGGCCACAGUGAGCCAGGCGCCCACAGAACAGCCGGGCAAGUGUUCCAGCCCACGGGAAUGUGUCGCAGGGAGGCAAAGGCAGAAACCACAGUGCCUGGGACGUUCUAGGCUGCCAGCUACCAGUAGAGGAGAAGCAACAGGUCACAGAACUCUUUAAUGCCAAAAAGAGAGAGAAUGGGGCGGUGAGGGGGGCGAUCUGCAGCUGAGAGGCCAUCCAGCAGAAUCUCUGUUAUGUUAGAUGGGGAAAGCAAAACACAGAGAGGGCAGGCUCUAGGCCCAACAGCACACAGCAAGUUUCCUCCGUGCCUCUCUUCAUUUCCUGCCCCCUCUCAUCCUCGUCUUCCUUCUGAUGCUUGAGUGGGCCACCUGGGGUCAUGCCUCAGGACCUUUAUAGUUUCUGUUAUUUUUGCCCAAAAUGCUCUGCUCCCAGAUCUACUUGCCAAUCAGAUCUCAGCACAAAUGUCCCCUCAAGAGGGACCUUUCCUGACCAUUGUAACUGAAGUAGCUCAUACCUCACUGAUAUUAUUCAUCUCCACUGAGUUGUUGUUUUUCUUUUCCUUGCAGCAAUUAUGAUUUUAGGAAAUUACUUACUUACCUGUGUAUUGGCUGUUAUCCCCGUGCGGUACCCUCAGCUCCUCAAAUAGUGCCUGACAUACAGAAGGUGCUUAGUAGAUAUUUAAUUCAUUAAUCAGUGGCAGAACUAGGGCUGGAAUUUAGGUCGUCAGCCUCUUGCCCCGAGACAGGGAAAAGGUGGGAGAUGGAGGAGAAACAAGCAUCUCCUAGGAGAGGAGACACCUGUCGGGGGUCAGGAGGCCAGCACGGCUUUGCCACGUCACUCUGGGUGACUUGAGCCAGUGCCUUGUGUUCUCACCGUGAAAUGAAAGGGCCGGAGAACAAGCAUAAACACUUUCGAGACCCUAUUUCCUUUGACAGCUGAAGACAAGGGUAACCGGUCUGAGGGGCAGGUAGCUAAGGGGUGGUACCCCCAGGUCUAACUAGAAUUCCCACCACUGGCACAGUUUGUCCCAUCGAAGUUGAGAUAGCCCAGAUAGGGGAAAGCACUUCACACUAUACUGGAUGGCUCCAGGCAUUGUCCUCAAAGCUCUUUUGGCCUUAGGAAAAUGUUCCUCAUCCAUCUCCAUGAUACCCAGCACAACACUGUCUCCCCACCUCAACUGAUGCAGAGGUUUAAGCCUCUGCAUCAAGCCUGCCUGCCACGGGCAGAAACAGGAACACACGGAGCAGCUAGUCCAGUAGAAACAUCAUCAGCCACAUGUUUCGUCACUCAGUUGUGUCUGACUCUGCAACCCCAGGGACUGCGGGCAACCAGGCCCCUCUGUCCGUGGAAUUUUCCAGACAAGAAUACUGGAGUGGGUCGCCAUUUCCUUCUCCAGGGGAUCUUCCUGACCCAGGGAUUGAACCUGCGUCUCAUGCGUUGGCAGGUAGGUUCUUGGCCCCUAAGCCACCUGGGAAGCUCAUGAGCCACGCAGGUAGCUUCAUACAUUCUAGUAGCCACGUUGAAAAAGGAAGAGGGAACAGAUCCAGAUGACACCAAUUCUAAUGUCUCACGUCAAUAUAUCCAAAAUAUUAUUUCAAUAUAUCCAAAAUAUUAUUUCAACAUAUAAUCAAUAUAGGAAAGAACUUAUUUACGCUCCGUCUUUGAAAUCUGGUGUGUAUUUCUGUAGCACAUCUCAAUUCAGAUGAUGAAUUUUCAUCAGAAAUACUCGACCUCUAUUUAGAUUUCAUGAAACUCAACAUUUGAAGAAGUCGAUUCCUAUACCCACGCUGUCCCAGUGAUGUUGAAUAGUUUUCCAGUAAUGAAGAUGAGAAGCAUUUUCUAAAUUAAUGAGAAGUAAGUUGCAGGUAAACUUCCCCCGUUGCACCACAAACAUGGUGAGUAGACACAGCACUGGAGAAGAAAAACAACAACCUUAGUAUCACCAGGAAUUCUGUCUGCAUUGCCCUGGGGCCAGACAGCCCUUUGCAUAAGGGUGGCCUUUUGCAAGUGAGUCACCAAGUGGAAUCUACUGCAGGGUUGUCCUGAGAAUUCCGCGUGGACACGUUUGUACCCCGUUCUCUCUUGUGUACUGUGAUAGACUCCUGGAAGCCCUCAAGCAUUUGUCUAACCCCCGUGCCUUUGCUCGGGGUGCCCACCUCUCUGACACCAUCUCUACCCUGGCCCUGUCUGACAUCUCUACGCUAUGCUGCUCUGCCCUCCUGCCAAAGGGACUCCUGCCUGAGAUCAACUCAGAAAGCAACACCCAGUUUUGUUUCCUUGUGGAGUGUGCUGAUUGUGUUUAAGUAGUUGUGUUUUGGCACCCUUGGGGGUCAACGACUGUCUUUUGGGAGUGGUUGCGUUUUAAGUCAUGACUUUUAAAGGGAUUGAAAUUUAGGCUCUGGAAGCGGGAAGCUGCCAGCGAGGCAUCGGUCUCUGUGGAAGCUGCCAGCGAGGCGUCGGUCUCUGGGCACAUCCAAACAGAAAAGACUGAAGACUCACUUGUGGAGCGACAACUGGCAGCCUUUGGGGUUUAAGAGGAGGGAGAAGAUGCUUGGGAUUCUGACUGUCAACUGGAAGCCUAGACGCCUGUGUCUGAUGGAGGAGGGGUCCAAGGGACCUGGUCUUUGGAUCUGCUUGACUACUGGACUCACAGCAAACGUGAUGCAAGCAGAGGCUUGACAAGUGCUCAUGGACUGGGAUGAUCUCUCUUGCUGCCCUGGGGACCCCUGCCACCAUGACCACAUGGGGAAGUCCGGGCUAACCUGCAGGGUGAUAGAUAACGUGUGGCCCAGCUAGCCAGGACACCCCAAUUAGUGUCAGCCCUCUAAAAGAGAGCUGCCUGGCUGACGAGCAGCUGAACCAUCCUCCAGCUGAUCCUAGGCCAAACUGCCAACCGAUGGAAUGCGGUAAAUACAGGACAGUUAUUCUAGAGGCUUCUCUGGUGGUCCAGUGCUUAAGAGUCUGCCUUGCAAUGCAGAGGAUUGAAAUUCAACGCCUGGGGGGUAACCAAGUUCCCAGAUGCCACCAAUUGUCUGAGCCUGGGAGCUACAACUAGAGUGUCCGUGUGCCGCAAAAGGGAUCCUGCAUGACUGUGCUGCCAAUGCAGGGGGCCCAGAUUUGAUCCCUGGUCAAGGAACGAGAUCCUACAUACCACAACUAAGAGUUCACAUGCUACAGCUAAAGGCCUCAAAUACCAUCACUAAAGACUCCACAUGCCAGAACUAAGACCUGGUACACCCAAACAAAUUUUCUGUAGAAAGUAAAUUUACGUAAAUAACCAAAUAACUUUUCUUAAAAAAAAAAGAAAAAGAAUCUGCCUUGCAAUGCAGGGAAUUCAAGUUCAAUCCCUAGUGGGGGAACUAAGAUCCCACAUGGCGCAGAGCAACUGAGCCUGUGAGCUGCAGCUACAGAGUCCGUGCUCUGCAAUGAAGAUCCUGCAAGAGUCGAUGGAGGCCUUGUGAGCUGCAACUAAGACCCAAUACA